RNAcentral lists this ribosomal RNA (253 nucleotides) under uncultured bacterium. RNAcentral describes it as "partial 16S ribosomal RNA". It matches the Rfam family "Bacterial small subunit ribosomal RNA", at positions 524 to 776 of the family's 1533-position model. The record is from RNAcentral.
UACGUAGGGUCCGAGCGUUGUCCGGAAUUAUUGGGCGUAAAGGGCUCGUAGGCGGUUUGUCGCGUCGGGAGUGAAAACACGGGGCUUAACCCCGUGCCUGCUUCCGAUACGGGCAGACUAGAGGUAUGCAGGGGAGAACGGAAUUCCUGGUGUAGCGGUGAAAUGCGCAGAUAUCAGGAGGAACACCGGUGGCGAAGGCGGGUCUCUGGGCCGAUACUGACGCUGAGGAGCGAAAGCGUGGGGAGCGAACAGG